RNAcentral lists this ribosomal RNA (321 nucleotides) under uncultured bacterium. Its description in RNAcentral is "bacterial SSU rRNA". It matches the Rfam family "Bacterial small subunit ribosomal RNA", at positions 97 to 417 of the family's 1533-position model. The record is from RNAcentral.
GGCGGACGGGUGAGUAACACGUGGGCAACCUGCCUCAUAGAGGGGAAUAGCCUUCCGAAAGGAAGAUUAAUACCGCAUAAGAUUGUAGCUUCGCAUGAAGUAGCAAUUAAAGGAGCAAUCCGCUAUGAGAUGGGCCCGCGGCGCAUUAGCUAGUUGGUGAGGUAACGGCUCACCAAGGCGACGAUGCGUAGCCGACCUGAGAGGGUGAUCGGCCACAUUGGGACUGAGACACGGCCCAGACUCCUACGGGAGGCAGCAGUGGGGAAUAUUGCACAAUGGGGAAACCCUGAUGCAGCAACGCCGCGUGAGUGAUGACGGCCU